Molecule: unclassified non-coding RNA, 24 nt
Filed under: Mus musculus (house mouse)
Lineage: Eukaryota; Metazoa; Chordata; Mammalia; Rodentia; Muridae
Description: oocyte_clustered_small_RNA3518
Source: RNAcentral
CUGACGCAUUACGCAGGGCGGGGG